ACAGGUCUUCGGACGCUGACGAGUGGCGAACGGGUGAGUAAUACAUCGGAACGUGCCCAGUCGUGGGGGAUAACUACUCGAAAGAGUAGCUAAUACCGCAUACGAUCUGAGGAUGAAAGCGGGGGACCUUCGGGCCUCGCGCGAUUGGAGCGGCCGAUGGCAGAUUAGGUAGUUGGUGGGAUAAAAGCUUACCAAGCCGACGAUCUGUAGCUGGUCUGAGAGGACGACCAGCCACACUGGGACUGAGACACGGCCCAGACUCCUACGGGAGGCAGCAGUGGGGAAUUUUGGACAAUGGGCGAAAGCCUGAUCCAGCAAUGCCGCGUGCAGGAUGAAGGCCUUCGGGUUGUAAACUGCUUUUGUACGGAACGAAAAAGCUUCUCCUAAUACGAGAGGCCCAUGACGGUACCGUAAGAAUAAGCACCGGCUAACUACGUGCCAGCAGCCGCGGUAAUACGUAGGGUGCGAGCGUUAAUCGGAAUUACUGGGCGUAAGCGUGCGCAGGCGGUUAUGUAAGACAGAUGUG
This 526-nucleotide ribosomal RNA is filed under the name Acidovorax sp. Fon15. RNAcentral's name for it is "bacterial SSU rRNA". It matches the Rfam family "Bacterial small subunit ribosomal RNA", at positions 71 to 596 of the family's 1533-position model. The record is from RNAcentral. Lineage: Bacteria; Pseudomonadati; Pseudomonadota; Betaproteobacteria; Burkholderiales; Comamonadaceae.